This 25-nucleotide non-coding RNA is filed under the name Drosophila erecta. Lineage: Eukaryota; Metazoa; Arthropoda; Insecta; Diptera; Drosophilidae. RNAcentral also lists the same sequence under 7 other names. The record is from RNAcentral.
CGUGAGCUGGGUUUAGACCGUCGUG